GAGGUGAUAGUUUUACUAGACGUUCGAUUUUUGAUUGUAUGGUGGCCGGUUCAAUUCCGGUUUUUUUCU
This 69-nucleotide transfer RNA is filed under the name Macleaya cordata. It matches the Rfam family "tRNA". Rfam says of the family: Transfer RNA (tRNA) molecules are approximately 80 nucleotides in length. Their secondary structure includes four short double-helical elements and three loops (D, anti-codon, and T loops). The record is from Rfam by way of RNAcentral. Lineage: Eukaryota; Viridiplantae; Streptophyta; Magnoliopsida; Ranunculales; Papaveraceae.